CGUGCGGUCCUAUUUUGUUGGUUUCUAGGAUCGCCGUAAUGAUUAAUAGGGAUAGUUGGGGGCAUUCGUAUUCAAUUGCUAGAGGUGAAAUUCUUGGAUUUAUUGAAGACGAACUACUGCGAAAGCAUUUGCCAAGGAUGUUUUCAUUGAUCAAGAACGAAGGUUAGGGGAUCGAAAACGAUCAGAUACCGUUGUAGUCUUAACAGUAAACGAUGCCGACUAGGGAUCGGACGAGGAUUUUUAAUGACUCGUUCGGCACCUGAAGAGAAAUCUUUAAGUCUAGGUUCGGGGGGGAGUAUGGUCGCAAGGCUGAAACUUAAAGAAAUUGACGGAAGGGCACCACCAUGGUGUGGAGCCUGCGGCUUAAUUUGACUCAACACGGGGAAACUC
RNAcentral lists this ribosomal RNA (390 nucleotides) under fungal sp. RNAcentral's name for it is "SSU rRNA". It matches the Rfam family "Eukaryotic small subunit ribosomal RNA", at positions 827 to 1216 of the family's 1831-position model. Lineage: Eukaryota; Fungi. The record is from RNAcentral.